Molecule: transfer RNA, 69 nt
Filed under: Urocitellus parryii (Arctic ground squirrel)
Lineage: Eukaryota; Metazoa; Chordata; Mammalia; Rodentia; Sciuridae
Also listed under: 2 other names
Description: Spermophilus parryii (Arctic ground squirrel) tRNA
Rfam family: tRNA
About the family: Transfer RNA (tRNA) molecules are approximately 80 nucleotides in length. Their secondary structure includes four short double-helical elements and three loops (D, anti-codon, and T loops).
Source: Rfam by way of RNAcentral
GGGGCUGUAGCUCAGUGGUGGAGCGCAUGCCUCACAAGUGUGAGGCACUGGGUUCAAUCCUCAUCACCA